UGUCUUUUCAUAGGUUUGUAGUGCAGUGUAAGCGUUGCAGAUUUGCCCACAGUAGCAGAGACGUCCUCUUGAAACACUACAGGCUUCGGCACUAUCAAGUGUGAUCCUAUCAGCAUCCUUGCUUGUAUACUGACCGUAUCUGCACUUUUAAAACUUUAGAAUAUGCGGCUCCGUGUUGUGUUGGCCCCUGGUAAUAUUACGAGGAUGGAUAUUUUGCAAAAUCUCACUUCGGUUGAACAUUUGAAAACAAUUCUUCAAGAAAGGCUUGAAAUCGAGGAUGAUUUUCUGAUUCAGUUUGAGGAUCCUGAGUUCGGAAAUGAACUUGACCAGUAUAACAGAGCUUCCACAAGAAAGAGCAGUGCUGAAGAUCAUCCAGAAAGUACCUGAAGAAUCAGAAAUAGAGACCUCGAAAAAAGUGCACAAUGACUCUAGAUGUUUAAAGAAAGCAAAGAGAUGUGAGGUAAACUUCCUCCCAGACAACCCAGUAGGGCAGACAGAUUGUUCCUUACAGAAGGAAAAAGAUGCACUACAAGAGGAAAUAAAGAAGAAACAUUUCAGCAUUACAAUUGUUGACUCCAAAAUGGAGCUGACAUUCUCUCUGAGAAGAAUGGAGAUAUUUAAUGAAGAACCUCUUGUGGCUGAAUGUUUUUGGAAGAUCAGGUCUCUGCCGAGUUUUACAGAAUUACACAAACCAACCUGAACAGUACCUUUUUGUCUCCCACAUGGUGGAGCCUAUGGAGAUGAAAUGAAGACCCUCCUAGACCAACUUGUUCAAGCUUCUGAUGUGCUUGCUCAAAGAAAAGCUACAGCUCUCAAAGGUCUACCUUUGUUUAUGAGGGAAAAGUCUGGAAACUUCCUGAAGAACUUGCCUGGACACAGACCCAGAAGACACUCAUACAAAAGGGUUGAAGAUGGGGGUCUUAACUGUCACUGAAGAUGACGUUGCCACCAUCCAUUCAAACCCAAAUGUAAGGUCCCUGUCUGUAGUUGUAGAGGAGCAGGUUGUGCUGGAUAAAGUGCAAGACUUCCCUACAGCUGUUGCUCUCCUAUUUGGCUUGUUUUAUGCCAUCAACAUUAUCUAUCAUAAAGAACUAAAAUAUACUUUUGAAACUAUUCAGAAAGUGUUUAUUGGCCUUGACCCCCAGUGUUCUGCAAGAGUCCAGUCCUUCAAAAACAAAUUGUUAAAGUAGCUGCAGUUCAUGUGAUUAAUCAAAAGUGCAAGUUCUGAUUUGUUCCUGUUUGUUUUGUAGCUGUAUAACAGUACAACAUAUACCAAAGUCAGUUUUGAGUUUUAGUGUAAGGUUUUAUGACAUUCAUGUUUUGUUUUUUACAGUUGUAAUACCUGAUUGCUCUAUGUGUUGAAACUCUGCUUGUUUUUUUUUUUUUUUUACUCCAGCACUUUAAAAGCUUUUGUGUUGGUUUACUCCAGUUUUUCCAGUUCAUGUUGACAGAAAAUG
Long non-coding RNA from Tachysurus fulvidraco (yellow catfish), 1457 nucleotides. RefSeq lists it as uncharacterized. The record is from RefSeq and is a predicted model, not a curated record. Lineage: Eukaryota; Metazoa; Chordata; Actinopteri; Siluriformes; Bagridae. The transcript has 5 exons.